AUAUAAAGGUAAAUAUAAAUAAAAAUAGUGUAAGAUACUAUUUUUAUUGGACUUAAAAAAAAAAAAUAUAAGUCGAAAAUGACUUGUACUGAAAUUGGAAUGGAGACAGAAAAUUUAGAAUUUUCUGUAAGAAACGGGGCUAAUCUUUUAGCAGAAAAUUCACAGUGUCAGAAAAUUAUAAAAGUUCGAGAAUAUGUGGGAAUUAUUUUUAUAAGACUAGAUUUAAAGUUUCAUGUCAUUCCGACACCCCGAAAGUGAAAAUAAAAUCUGACUGCUAUCUGCUAGAGAUUCAGGUCGGUAGAGCUUUCGGUGACCAAAAAUGGUCCAAACUAAGAAUUUAAGAUUUCGUUCUUCUUGUUAAGUUAAACCGAGCCUGACUGUCAAAUUUGAGCACAAACGGACAUUCAGAAGGGCUCCGGCGAGAAGUAUCAGAUUUUGAACUGCUAAACUGACAUUGUGUUAAUGUUGGGGUGGAGGUUGACUAUAAAAAGGGGAUUCUUCUCCCCUUUCUUCUUCUUCCUAGCCAACACACACACACACACACACACACACACACACACACACACACACACACACACGUAUGGAGAGGGAGAGAGAAACCCUCCCUUUCUCUCUCUAGAUAUCUUCCUGCUCUCUUUAUCUUUUUCUCCUAUAUUCGGAGGCUUGGCAGAGA
RNAcentral lists this long non-coding RNA (673 nucleotides) under Ananas comosus (pineapple). RNAcentral's name for it is "long non-coding RNA (ACOM_LNC031365)". The record is from RNAcentral. Lineage: Eukaryota; Viridiplantae; Streptophyta; Magnoliopsida; Poales; Bromeliaceae.